UGCAAGUGAUGUUUUCUUUUCCUGUUUGUUUGUUUGCAUUUCUCCCUGUGCCCUGCUUGAAGGAGGUGUGCUGGAGGAGGAUUGCUUUGCUCCUGGCUGAUGGACUAAAGUAAACAUAGAGAAAAAGGUGCACACAGUCAUCAUUGUCAUCAGCAACUGGAGAUGGACUAGAAGAAUGUAACGGAGCACACAUCUGGCAGCGUGACAUUAUUCCUAUGGGGUGCAAUGUGCCCUCUGUGCACGGAAUCAUCACUGUGGAUUUCUGCUUCAGUCCUGUGGGCAUGAGCUGUACUGUGUGUGCACUGAGGAGAGCCAGAAAGGAGCACGGAGUCAUC
This 335-nucleotide long non-coding RNA is filed under the name Gallus gallus (chicken). RNAcentral describes it as "long non-coding RNA NONGGAT004861". The record is from RNAcentral. Lineage: Eukaryota; Metazoa; Chordata; Aves; Galliformes; Phasianidae.